AUACAUACGCAUAAGAAAUCAUGUGUUAAUGUUAACUGCUCCCAAAAUAUGUUUUACAGAUCAGAAAGCUCAAGAUUCAACAAGGUAUAGCGUUUCCUAUUUGACUGAAACCAAAGCGCUGAAAACAGCAACAACUAACUGUACUUCAAUGUAAGAGUUGCCUUCUUAGCCCACAAUACAAAUCUCAGCUUAAGCUAUAGAGGAUUAUAAUGAGAGCUAUAUGGUUUUGUAUUGUUUCUAUAGCCGAAGAAGAAAUAUUACAUCUCAAUGUCUUCGAGGUCUGGUAAAGGGAACCUGAGAAGAGCUGCAAUCCCAGUGAGUUGUGCCAACUCUGCAAGUUCAUCAACACUGUAUAAGAGUCUGGCACAGUAAAGAAGAAGAGAUAAAGAAGGAAACACUCACGUUCCCCUGAUACAUGCAUCGACGAGAAUAUAAAAGCCUCUCCUCCUGAAUCUUUCACCGACUCCACCAAAUCCACAUACUUCUUCCUUGUUUUCACGUCAGAGUUCCUGCACAAAAAGUUUAUAACGUCAAUCACAUUUGCCUUUUGAAAUUAGGAAUUUCGAAUUAGGAUUAGUGCUCCUUUCCAUCACUAAACCUGAAAAGCUCAUCAGUGAUGAGAAGUGUUUGGACUGCCAUUCGCUCAUGUGCAACUUCUACAUGUUUUGGUCCAUAGCAUGCUCGAGCUGGGUCCUGGAUUAAAUAAAGCAAACGAAUCUCAAGACGCAUUGAAAAUAAUCUUAAAACGGAUGAGAAUCUCUUUCUCUUCAUUGCAAAAGAAGACACUAUUUAAAAAUCAAAUUUGUGAUUUAGAAUCCAUACAAAUUUUAACGUAUUUAAAAAAUUUGUGUGAUAUAAAAUAUGCUGAUUUGCUUCUUCUUUGUCGUCAGCGACAAUCAAAACUCAAGUAUUCCUUUUGAUCACCGCUUAAGAAAGUUAACAUCUUCUUCUUCCACUGUAUCAUUCAUUGGAGUAAGUAUUACUCUUUCGAUGAGAUAAGAAUAAUCGUAAAUAAAGGUAAUAAAUUGACAUUGACAUUAACUACAACAGCUUAAUCAAUGUUAUAUUGUCGAUAAGAACAAACACAUCAUGAACAUCAUAGGCACACUAUAACUUACACAUAGGCAUAAUAGUCACAUUAACUUUUCCAUUAACUUACUUACAACAACAUAACAUCUAUAUGUACAAACGCCUAAAUAUAACUACGGUUUUUUCAAAAAAGGGAAUUAUAACUGUGGCAAUAACUAACAUACGACACCAUGACAAUCAUGACAAAAAAAAUCAACACCAAUUUAAGAAAAAAAGAACUUACGAAGAUCAAGAAAUCUAGUUAUUUCUUCAAAAAUGUGACACCUAAGAAAAACAUGCAGAAAAAACUCACCUAAUAUGAGAAUAAACCGAAUAUGAGAGAGUUAAAUCCUAUAUAUAGAUGUGAAUAAUUGUAGUUCCUUUGGUUUAUGGGUUUUAAACAGAAAAUUAACUAUUUAGAUAGGAAAAUUGAUUAUUUGAAUAAUUAUUCUAGAUUUUUUUUUUUUUGGAUUUGAAGAAAGGAAAACAACUUUUAACACUCUUUUACAAUUUUCCUAUGUUUAAGAUUUUAUAAAAGAACAAUUACUAUCAAAUAAUGUUUUACAUUUAUCUUUUAUUUAUGAUUUUACAAAAGGAAAAUAAGUAUUUGAUAAAUUGUUUUAAAAAUAUUUAGAAUUUUGAAAAAGAAUAAUGUCUAGAAAAAAUUACUUUAAAUAAUUUUUAAAAUUACUUCUUUAAAAAAAAAUGAUUUUAUUAUCUUAUCUUAUAUUUUUUAUUAAUCAUGAGAUAUUUUUAAAAAUGUCAAAAUUUUCAAAGGAAAUUACUAUCAAAUAAUAAUUUAUAAUUAUGUUUUCUUUAUGAUUUAAAAAAAUGGAAAAUUAGUAUUAAAUAUAUUAUUUUAAUAUAAGUUUUUGUAUAGGAGUUUUAAAAGGAAAUUUUCUAGAAUAAUACUAUUAAAUAAUUUAAAAUUACCUUUUUACUAUUAAAUAACUAUUUUAAAGUUCGUUUUUUAUCAUCUUAGUAUAAUUUUCUAAAAUGGAAAUUUACUAUUAAAUAGUAUUUAUAAUUACUUUUAAUAAUAAGUUUUUGUGUAUGAGUUUUAAAAGGUUUUUUUAGAAUAAUACUAUUAAAUAAUUUUAAAAUCACCUUUUUACUAUUAAAUAUAUAUUUUUAAAGUUUGUGUUUAUUAUGUUAGUAUAUAUUUUUAAAAUGGAAAUUUACUAUUAAAUAGUAUUUAUAAUUACAUUUAAUUACGAAAGAGUUUGACACAUGUCACAAUCUUAAAUAUAUAUUUGUCAUGUGUCACAAUCAUAUUAAUUAGUAAUUUUGAAAAUCAAACUUUAUAUAAUAAGAUUUGGCUAUAGUUUCUUAAAAUGUUAUAUGAAAAUAAAUAUUUAACAAAUUAAUUGGAUGUAAAAAUUUAGAUAAACAACUUAAUAUUUAAGUUGAUGAAAAAACAACUUAAUAUUUGUAUUUACACCAAAAAAACAAUAUUUAUCUUAUAUAAAAAUAUAUGUUUACUUUGCAACUUUGUCGAUAUGAAAUUGAUCUGUUAUAUUUUAUAAAUGAAACUGGUCGAAUUCUGCGGUUUAAAUUAUUUUAAAAUUUACUAUUAGUUUGUUGAAACUUAGUUCAUUUGUAUGUGCGAGUGCUCGUGAGUAAUUAUAUGAACUUUCAUGGCAUUCAUACUAACAGCAAGUAACGUGACUGGUAGAUAGAAGAUCUUGGUCUAAUGGUCUUGUAUCAAAUGUAAAAACAUAACUAGCGUUUAUAUGAACAUUUGUAAAUUUCAAAAUGGACAUACAUACGCAUAAGAAAUCAUGUGUUAAUGUUAACUGCUCCCAAAAUAUGUUUUACAGAUCAGAAAGCUCAAGAUUCAACAAGGUAUAGCGUUUCCUAUUUGACUGAAACCAAAGCGCUGAAAACAGCAACAACUAACUGUACUUCAAUGUAAGAGUUGCCUUCUUAGCCCACAAUACAAAUCUCAGCUUAAGCUAUAGAGGAU
RNAcentral lists this long non-coding RNA (3034 nucleotides) under Brassica napus (rape). Its description in RNAcentral is "long non-coding RNA (BNAP_LNC003038)". Lineage: Eukaryota; Viridiplantae; Streptophyta; Magnoliopsida; Brassicales; Brassicaceae. The record is from RNAcentral.